Molecule: long non-coding RNA, 2670 nt
Organism: Suricata suricatta (meerkat)
Lineage: Eukaryota; Metazoa; Chordata; Mammalia; Carnivora; Herpestidae
Exons: 5
Source: RefSeq, a predicted model, not a curated record
CUCUGGUUAUGCCUGAAUCAGUAGGCCCUGCCUCCUCCUGUUAUUUAUGCAACAUCUGCCAACCUGAGCCAUGGAUAUGUGGAACACUUAAAUGUCACUGUGGUGCAACUAUCAAGGUUAGAUGUGAAGAAUACAGGGUGGAACAUACAAGGUUGAGUGUGGUCUGGGGGAAAAUGACCAAGAUGUGCCUUUGAGGAGUUCACAGUAUGGCUGGAGAGAAGCCUGUAUCAUUCCUGGAUUGUGACUGCGUGCAUUCCAAGGGCAUUCCACAUGGCCCCCAAAGGAAGGGCAGGACGUGAGGACAGAGUGCCUCACUCAGGGACGUGGCUGUUGUAUGUCAGGCCCCUUCCAGUCACCUUACCCUUGGCUCUUCCUAUAACAUGGGAGAAUCUUUCUUUUUAGGAUUUGGUGGCUCAACAGGUCUGGAAGGAUUUGGUAAGGGGAGGCUUCCUUGGGCUCUAUUGCUGGGAGAGGAAAAGAAGUUUAGCAGGUCGAAUGGCAAAGGCAAAACCACCGUGGAAGGUUUGUCUGUGGACAAGGCCUGGAGCGUGUGGAGGUAGCGCAGCUGAGCGGCGGCCGGGGUGCCGGCCAGGAUCUCAGCUGCAGUUCUCAGGGACUCGGAGGCGGCCUUCUCCCCUUCCGCAGCGAUCACCUAGAGAACGGACCGAAGAGAAGCACAGUGACUUUUCCUCUCCGUUCCUCCGAGGCUCGACUCACUUCUCAGGGUUACCCAGCAGACAAGCGCGGAGCACCUGCCAGGGGACAGGCACCGGAAGCACAGCAGACUGCCCUCUUUCUCAAGGAUCUUGGUCUAGGGGAGACAGAUCACACUAUCGGUGUAAUUUAGGGCGGAAUCUGUCAAGGGCCAUGGCAAGCAUAGUGAAGUGUUAGGGGAGUUACUAAUUAUGUCUGUGGGGCCUUGAAAGAUGAGUAGGACUUUGCCAUAUUUAGAAAAAGUUGGCCAGCAUCCUAGGCAAGGUCGUAGAAGCCUGAAAGGGGGACUUCUACCUAGGGCAAAAUGAACAGGUAAGCAUUUCAGAAGAAAAAGCACCUGGCUCACUACCCAAAUGCCACCAUCAAGUGGACAAAGAGGACCCAGAGAUGGAGAAGGAAGAAGUAUUGAUGCACGCUUCACCACGGAGGAACCUUAGGAAGAAUAUGUUAAGUGAAAGAAGCCAAACACAGAAGGCCAUGUAAUACGUGACUGCAUUUGUACGACGUGUCCAGGACAGCCAAAUCCAGACAGGAGAUCAGUCACUGAAUCCAAGGCCACCUGUGGAGGGAAGAGGGGAGCCGUCAGUGAGAAACCCCCUGCGGAGUGGAGCUCCCCUACGCCUCAUGCCCCUCAUGCCCGGUGGUCUCUGCUGGGAACAUACGUUUUCUCUGAAAGGACUUUUGUUUGAACAUGACAGUGUCUUGCAAAAAGUUCCUUAACUUUGCACGGAGCCAAAUGUUUGUGGAAUUGAAGACGGUGUGGAGGGCUGAAUAGUGGCUUCCAAAGACAUCCAUGUCCCGAUCCCCAGAGCCUGUGAAUGCUGCCCCAGAAGAGACCUCGCAGAUGGGGUUAAGUUAGAGGAUCUUAAAAUGGGGAGAGUAUCUUGGGUCUUCGCAGCAGGCCCCAAAUGCAGUCCCAAGUGUCCUGCUAAGAGGGAAGCAGAGGGAGGUGUGGCUACAGGAGAGGAGGAGGUGAAUCUGGGGGCAAAUGUUGGAGUGAUGGGCUGGGACAAUGGAGAAAGGGGCUGGCCAACCUGGGGAAGCGGGGAGCCUUGAGAGAGGCUGGAAAAGGCAAGGAAACGAAUUCUCCUCUCAGAACUUCCAGAAGGAAGCGGCCCUGCCAACACCUUGACUUUGGCCCCCGUGAAACUGAUCUGGCACUUCUGGCCUUCAGAGGUGUAAGAGACUAGAUUGGCAUUGUUUUAAGUCCCUGAAUUUGUGGCAGUUUGUUACAGAAGCCACGGGAAACUGAUGCAGAUGGGGUACUUUUGGGAUGCUUUUCUUCCAAUCCUUCCCAUGGUUCCUUCAUCUCACUCAGCCAGCCUCCUGUUCCCCUAGAGCCGCGUUUACUCUAUCUCCAUAUUCUGCUUUAUUUUUUCCCAUAGCAAUUGUCACCCUGUGGUAUUAUAUCAUUGCUUGUUUAUUUCCUGCCACCAGCUGGACUGUAAUGUGAGCAGGGCCAUACUGUCAGCUUUAUCCUGAUGCCUGCAACAGUGCCUGGUAGAUCAUGUAUGAUCAAUAAAUAGGAGAUGAAUGGAAAAAAAAGAUGCAUCGACUAGAGAACCAAAGUCUGGGGUCUCCCAAACGGCUUUCAUUUACAGGUGCCUCCUUCCUGCCAGUGGCACCCCAUUCCCCCUCUCCCCAGACCCAGAGGGCAGGAGAAAGUGAACUGUGGGCUCUGGAAAGGAGGGGUGGGGAUGGAGCUCUGCAUGUGGGCCCACACUCUUUUCCUUUUUAAUGAUUUCUGAUGAUUUCUCAGCGGCUACAAGGUCAGCUAGCCUAGUGCACGGAGAGCCCUGAGAAGGCUGGCUAAUUUAGGGUGAGAGGAAGGGAUGUGGAAAAGAGGAGGUGGCAUCUUAAAGGACAAAGAGGGUUUUGCCUGUGGGGAGAAGGGAAGCCACCCAAGAGGAGGUGUGUGAGUAUCAAGUGCUGCAUUUGGGAUAAGCGCUGAGGGCA